Molecule: long non-coding RNA, 846 nt
Organism: Motacilla alba alba
Lineage: Eukaryota; Metazoa; Chordata; Aves; Passeriformes; Motacillidae
Exons: 2
Source: RefSeq, a predicted model, not a curated record
GCCUGCGGGAACGGAGCGGCGUGAGGGGGACGGGACACGGGAUAUGGGGCACCGGGGCUGCGCAGCGGGGUCCGCGGGAUUGUGGGGCCACUGUGGGGCAGCUGAGGGCUCGGAGUGUGCGGGGAUGGGGACACGGAGGGUGAGGGGACGCGGAAGCGGCUCUGGGGGCUGGUUGAGGAGCCCGAACCCGGCCGAGGUGUAGGGCAUGUGGGGUUUACUGAGAUGCGGGAGGAGAUCUGGGAGCUCGGGGGAUGGAGGAUGGGUAGGGCGGGCACGGGCAGAGGAACUGGGGGCUGAAGAGCUGCAGGGACCUGGUGGGGAGGAUAGAGGGAAGGAGAUGAGAAGAGAAUGUAAACGUGUGGCGUGAGGGAAGGGAGGGAUCCAAAUGGGCCUCUGGAGCCUUGGAGAGACGCUGACUGCAGCAGCAUUUACAGGUGCUGAUGACAUCUUUGUAUUGAUUUCUCUCUUCCUGUGAAGAAAGAAGCAUCUCUGUGGAAUAUACACCUAGGAGCAUGUUUUAGUGGUUUUCCCUUUAGAGGAGAAGCUACCUUGUUUCUGUUAAGGAAGUAGCAAAAACGAAUUUGCUUCAUGCUCCAAUUUUUGAACACUGCCUAGAUGAGCUGUGAAUGUGCCUUAGGUUCAACAAAGAAUUUUUGAAAGACUUGCAAAGUCAGGUCCUGGCAGUGGAUACUGAACAACUCCAGUGCUGCUGUUAAUGUUGAUGAAAUUGUAUUGAGCAACACCAGAGCAUCCUGAGGGUGUAUGUGGUAAAUGAGUCUGUAGAAAUCACAAAUUAGUAUGUAAGUCCAAAGGUUGGUUUAAUAAAGUUGGUACUCCCUGAAAAAA